This 263-nucleotide ribosomal RNA is filed under the name uncultured bacterium. RNAcentral describes it as "partial 16S ribosomal RNA". It matches the Rfam family "Bacterial small subunit ribosomal RNA", at positions 15 to 278 of the family's 1533-position model. The record is from RNAcentral.
GAUCAUGGCUCAGAUUGAACGCUGGCGGCAGGCUUAACACAUGCAAGUCGAGCGGGGAAGGUUGCUUCGGUAACUAACCUAGCGGCGGACGGGUGAGUAAUGCUUAGGAAUCUGCCUAUUAGUGGGGGACAACGUUCCGAAAGGAACGCUAAUACCGCAUACGCCUACGGGGAAAGGACAGGGGAGUCUUCGGACCUUGCGCUAAUAGAUGAGCCUAAGUCGGAUUAGCUAGUUGGUGGGGUAAAGGGCCUACCAAGGCGACG